RNAcentral lists this ribosomal RNA (234 nucleotides) under uncultured bacterium. RNAcentral's name for it is "partial 16S ribosomal RNA". It matches the Rfam family "Bacterial small subunit ribosomal RNA", at positions 96 to 334 of the family's 1533-position model. The record is from RNAcentral.
UGGCGGACGGGUGAGUAAUGUCUGGGAAACUGCCCGAUGGAGGGGGAUAACUACUGGAAACGGUAGCUAAUACCGCAUAACGUCGCAAGACCAAAGGGGGGACCUUCGGGCCUCUUGCCAUCGGAUGUGCCCAGAUGGGAUUAGCUAGUAGGUGGGGUAACGGCUCACCUAGGCGACGAUCCCUAGCUGGUCUGAGAGGAUGACCAGCCACACUGGAACUGAGACACGGUCCAG